This 472-nucleotide ribosomal RNA is filed under the name uncultured bacterium. RNAcentral's name for it is "partial 16S ribosomal RNA". It matches the Rfam family "Bacterial small subunit ribosomal RNA", at positions 35 to 539 of the family's 1533-position model. The record is from RNAcentral.
AACGAACGCUGGCGGCAGGCUUAACACAUGCAAGUCGAACGCCCCGCAAGGGGAGUGGCAGACGGGUGAGUAACGCGUGGGAACAUACCCUUUUCUACGGAAUAGCUCUGGGAAACUGGAAUUAAUACCGUAUACGCCCUACGGGGGAAAGAUUUAUCGGGGAAGGAUUGGCCCGCGUUGGAUUAGCUAGUUGGUGGGGUAAAGGCCUACCAAGGCGACGAUCCAUAGCUGGUCUGAGAGGAUGAUCAGCCACAUUGGGACUGAGACACGGCCCAAACUCGCACGCGAGCGAGGUGUGGGAACGACGACAAGACGCAGCCCAGCCGCACCCCGCCGUGUCGCGGUACUACUGACCGCAUUGUGGUUGUAAACCUCUACCACCGUUGACGAUCAUCACGGUGGUCGGAGACUACCCCCCGCAAACUUUCGUGCCGGCAGCCGCGGUAACCAUGGGACCCGCACCCGUAUCAAC